Molecule: long non-coding RNA, 1060 nt
Organism: Drosophila nasuta
Lineage: Eukaryota; Metazoa; Arthropoda; Insecta; Diptera; Drosophilidae
Exons: 3
Source: RefSeq, a predicted model, not a curated record
UACAGAGAUAUGCAUUUUUCGAGUAUUUCAUUAAAACAAAGCGGGCAACGGCGAGUUGCGGACGGUGGAGACAAAAGAAUUAUAAAUAAAUUGUUAAGCGUUAACGCAAACGUUACGUUAACGUGGUCGAGAGCAGUCUAGACCAAAUAAAUCAAGCAGCAGAUGGGUUCAUUAAACGUUCAGCACAAAGCACAACUCAAUUCGAACACACUACUCAAGCAAAUUUGACCCAAACGAGAGAAGAUUGACUGAAGUCCAAAGUGCAAAACUGAAUCCCAAUACGCAAUGCUCAAUAUAUUUUUUUGCUAUUCAUGGUGGAUAAACGAAACGAAAGCACGCAGAAUUCACAGGAUGUGGCAGGACAUUGAAGUGGCCAUCACGAACCACAAUUACCGCACUUUAUAGCACUCAUAAUAUUACUGCUUAUCCAGGCAACUACUAUUCAAGGUGACGAAAGGAAAAAAAUCUCAUCAGUUUGCUGAACACACGACGCUCAAAGAGCUGAGCAGACCAGAGCAGGAACGGAGCGUGCCAGGCUGCUAAUUUGCAUAUCUUAAUUGCGUUCUUUGUGCGAGAACUCUUCUCGCCGAGGCAGCUGCAGAGGUAAACAGGAUUGGCCGCGAAGCGGCAACUGCAACGACAACUGGAAGUGCAUUAACAUUGCACACACACUAGGUUGAGCAUUAAAAUACACCGAAGGCUGCAUCCCUUGGCAAUGACACACCCCACAGCAAUUCCCUUCAUUUUGGGAGCAUGUGUGUGUGUGGGUGCGACAACAUUUCUAAUUUGUUUUAAUUGCAGUGACAACAAUGCCGCCGGCCGAGCAAAGGCGGCAAUCAAAAGGCACAAACGAAAACAAACAGAAUUAAAUUUAAAUGGGAAAAACCUUGCAGGCAAAACAACUCACUGUUUAUUUAACAGUUGAUGACCUUAAAGUAACCAAUUGCAUUUGUCUGGACACCCAGACUAAUCAGACUGUAAUUAAAAUAAAAUCUAGUCAAAACAAAACUUUGCGCCAAUAGCAAACUAACCUAAAUAUUCCCUAGACUAAUUACUUAUA